This 303-nucleotide ribosomal RNA is filed under the name uncultured bacterium. RNAcentral's name for it is "bacterial SSU rRNA". It matches the Rfam family "Bacterial small subunit ribosomal RNA", at positions 29 to 334 of the family's 1533-position model. The record is from RNAcentral.
AACGAACGCUGGUGGUAUGCUUAACACAUGCAAGUCGAACGGACUCUCUUAGCUUGCUAAGAGUAAGUCAGUGGCAAACGGGUGAGUAAUACAUAGGAAUCUACCUAGCAGUAAGGAAUAACUCUGGGAAACCAGAGCUAAUGCCAUAUAUUACCGCCUAUUAAUUUAGGCGGGAAAGAUUUAUCGCUGUUAGAUGAGCCUGUGCCGGAUUAGCUUGUUGGUGGGGUAAUGGCCUACCAAGGCAGUGAUCCGUAGCUGGUCUGAGAGGAUGAUCAGCCACACUGGGACUGCGACACGGCCCAG